UACGGAGGGGGCUAGCGUUGUUCGGAUUUACUGGGCGUAAAGCGCACGUAGGCGGAUUGUUAAGUCAGGGGUGAAAUCCUGGAGCUCAACUCCAGAACUGCCUUUGAUACUGAAGAUCUUGAGUUCGGGAGAGGUGAGUGGAACUGCGAGUGUAGAGGUGAAAUUCGUAGAUAUUCGCAAGAACACCAGUGGCGAAGGCGGCUCACUGGCCCGAUACUGACGCUGAGGCACGAAAGCGUGGGGAGCAAACAGG
RNAcentral lists this ribosomal RNA (253 nucleotides) under uncultured bacterium. RNAcentral's name for it is "partial 16S ribosomal RNA". It matches the Rfam family "Bacterial small subunit ribosomal RNA", at positions 524 to 776 of the family's 1533-position model. The record is from RNAcentral.